UAUCAAAUUAAGCGUUACAUAAUAGCGUUAUCUAUUUAUGAUAUAUAUAACAGUGCUACUAAACCGUUAACCCAAUCGUUAUGUAUGAGCAUGGAUUCAACAACGGUUGUUUCAGUGUUAAGAAUACCGUUAUGUAUGAGCGUAAUUUAUAACGGUAGUUGUAAUCGUUAUUCCCUACUGUUAUCUAUGAUUUAUUUUUUUUAUUUUUAUUUUUAUUUUUAAAAAUAAAAUUAUUCUUCUAAAAACUAAAUAUAACCCUCCCGCCACCUUUUCGCUCCAAAUCCCAAACCUUUCUUUCUAAAUUAAUUUCACCCAAAUCACCCUCUUCAAAAAAAAAAUUCACCCAAAUCACCAAAUCAUCUUCUUCCUUAGAAUCAAUCCCCCCCCCCCCGCCUUCGCCCGCUCCGUCCCUUCUACCUGCCACCGCGCGCCGCUCUCGCUUCAGCCGUGCGCCCCCUGCCACCCCUCCUUGCAGAGACUGCACCGCACAGUCGCGCAUAGGGCUGAGCCCCUGCCUGGCCUUUCCAGUCGCCCCAGGGUCCAGCCGAGCCCCCAGCCUCCCCUAGAGUUCAGACUGCCACCGCGAGCUGGCCUCGCCAGCCGGAGUCCGAUUUCUCCGAUUCUCUCUGGUAAAAUUUUCCUCAAUCUCUCGAUUUAGAUAUAUUGUCAUCUAAAAAUUAGUUUCUAGGGUUUGUUGUCAUCUAAAUUCGUCCAGUUUAUUUGAACCGAAUUCGUCUAGUUUAUUUGAACUAAAUUCGUCUAGUUUAUUUGAAUUUAUGAAAGUUUUCCUCAAUCUGCAUUUACCUUGUUGCUUUAACAUUUUUACUCUUCCAGGUCAGUGUGUAUGCAGGCAUUUAAUCAGAUUUUAUUUGCCUAUUUUAGCUUGAUAUUGUGAUUUAUUAGCCUCAUGGGUUGCACCAGUGUGGUCUGACUGAUUUUGGGAUUUGAUUUAACCUUACUUCUCGUAUGAACUAUGUAGCAUUUAACAGUUGUGAAAUUAAGGUUAGGUUUUCCACUUCUGCUGCUCAACCAGUUCUCAUUUUUUUCUUUUGUGCUGAUAACAAAUAUGUUUGUGUUUAUCUAGUCUGUAGAUGAUAGGAAAGGGGCAGUUGCUUGAUCUUCGAAGGCCAUUCCUUCUGGAAACUUGAUUAAUGGUUUUCAGGAUAAGCUGAGCUGCUUUGGUUUAUUUAAAUUGAAGUGAAUUACUUGAGAUUAUGCAAUUAGCAUAUUGUUUAUUUCUCUUUUAACUAUGUCAUUGUAAGGAUCUUUCUUUUGCUUCAUUCCCUUUCAAGUGUUUAGUGAGCAUAAUAACUCAUUAUAUUUCAGUGGAAUUUUAAACUGCUCCCUACUCCUCACAUAUUUUUUUCUAGAUCUAUGAAUGUUUAUUCUUCGUUGGCAGACAAGGAAGCCUUACACGAUUACUAAGCAGCGGGAGCGAUGGACUGAAGAGGAGCACAAUAGGUUUCUAGAAGCUCUCAAGCUUUAUGGCCAUGCUUGGCAGCGAAUAGAAGAACAUAUAGGAACCAAGACUACUGUGCAGAUAAGAAGUCAUGCACAGAAGUUUAUCACAAAGGUGAGUGGACGGCCACCGGGAGUCGGCCUCGUCCAGCUGGAGCUAAAUUAGUGUCCAAGUUCUCCGAUUCACUCUGGUAAAUUUUUCCUCAACCUUUCAAUUUACAUACGUUGUCAUCUAAAUUAGUGUUCAACAUUUCUUAGUGUGUGAAUUUGUUAAUUUUUGUUAAUUUCUUAGGGUUCAAUGAUGGACGAAAAGUUAAUGAGAUUAGUUGAGUCUUGUAUACAAUGUAUGUGUGUUUUGAAUUUAGUUUGAUGAAAUUGAUUGAGUAUAUGAGUGUUUAUAUAUACUGGAAGCAUGCUAGUUUUGAUUUAGAGUUUAUGAAUGACAAUUGUUGGACUGGAAUCCUGUGCUGUUUUACAGAAGAAUAAAGCUUAUGUUUCGAUGAGUUUUCGUGGCUUGAUGGCAUUGAAAUUUUAGUAUGUGUAUCUAUGAUAUGUCUACUUUGUCUCUGCAAAAUUUCAUGUCUAUUGGAUGAUGUUUGCUAUUUUUAAGAUAUUUGGGAAAAAUGAUGACAAAAACUGUCAACUGUUGGUAGGCUUCACCAAAACGUUUAUAUCUCUUAAACCAUGAGGGAUUUUGUAUCACCGUUUUUUUUAAGCGAAAAUAGACUAAAAUACCUUUCUAAAAAAAUAAGUCUUAUAUUUUUAUGACCUCUGAAACAGAUCAGUUUAUUCUUUCAAAAAAGCUCUGUUUUGCUGUCAUAUUUUUUCAACAGUAAAAGUAUCUGAGUUUCAUAGUCUAUUAGGCAGAUCAUAUGAACGAAUUUCCUUUUGAAAAUUUUACCAAAUCUUCUUGGAUAUCUUUGGUAUAGGCUGAUUAAGUUUGAUGAAUUUUUGUAAAGGUUUGCUUUGUUUUCAGAUGGCCUAAACAAUAUUGGCAGAAACUGUCAAUUUUUGACAGCCUGCACUAAAGGAGUAAUAUCUCUAAAACAUUUAAUCUUUUUGGUUAACUAUCACUUUUGGAGUAAACUACACUUCAUGAAGUUUUUGAAAUAAAAUGGUAUGAAAUUUUAUGUUAAUUGAGUUUGUUGUUAUGAAUUUUUAAAGAUGGCACAAAAACAACACACUUUCUAGAUAACAACUUGAUCAUAUUAUACACACUUUAACUAAGUAUGGAAAAUGUUGUCAAGACAUGAAUGUGUUAGCUUUAUUAAUG
Molecule: long non-coding RNA, 2731 nt
Organism: Salvia miltiorrhiza (redroot sage)
Lineage: Eukaryota; Viridiplantae; Streptophyta; Magnoliopsida; Lamiales; Lamiaceae
Exons: 3
Source: RefSeq, a predicted model, not a curated record